CUCGAUGGUGGGCUGGGCGAGAGCACCGCAAGGUGCGCCGGUAUUCAGAAUGGCCGGUAAGGUCACUCUUAUUCAGUCCACCUUCCUU
This 88-nucleotide non-coding RNA is filed under the name Klebsiella sp. RIT-PI-d. Lineage: Bacteria; Pseudomonadati; Pseudomonadota; Gammaproteobacteria; Enterobacterales; Enterobacteriaceae. The record is from RNAcentral.